This 304-nucleotide ribosomal RNA is filed under the name uncultured bacterium. RNAcentral's name for it is "partial 16S ribosomal RNA". It matches the Rfam family "Bacterial small subunit ribosomal RNA", at positions 506 to 807 of the family's 1533-position model. The record is from RNAcentral.
CAGCAGUAGCCGCGGUAAUACGUAGGUGGCAAGCGUUGUCCGGAAUUAUUGGGCGUAAAGCGCGCGCAGGUGGUUUAAUAAGUCUGAUGUGAAAGCCCACGGCUCAACCGUGGAGGGUCAUUGGAAACUGUUAAACUUGAGUGCAGGAGAGAAAAGUGGAAUUCCUAGUGUAGCGGUGAAAUGCGUAGAGAUUAGGAGGAACACCAGUGGCGAAGGCGGCUUUUUGGCCUGUAACUGACACUGAGGCGCGAAAGCGUGGGGAGCAAACAGGAUUAGAUACCCCUGUAGUCCCUGUCUCUUAUAC